Molecule: ribosomal RNA, 120 nt
Filed under: Yokenella regensburgei
Lineage: Bacteria; Pseudomonadati; Pseudomonadota; Gammaproteobacteria; Enterobacterales; Enterobacteriaceae
Also listed under: 1 other name
Source: RNAcentral
UGUCUGACGGCUUUAGCGCGGUGGUCCCACCUGACCCCAUGCCGAACUCAGAAGUGAAACGCCGUAGCGCCGAUGGUAGUGUGGGGUCUCCCCAUGUGAGAGUAGGACACUGUCAGACAU